Long non-coding RNA from Phyllostomus discolor (pale spear-nosed bat), 1869 nucleotides. RefSeq lists it as uncharacterized. The record is from RefSeq and is a predicted model, not a curated record. The transcript is spliced from 2 exons. NCBI's taxonomy places the organism in Eukaryota, Metazoa, Chordata, Mammalia, Chiroptera, Phyllostomidae.
AGCCCAAGAGCCAUCUCAGCUCCCAUCAGCCCUUGGAGACUUCUGCCCUUCUCUGAACACUGGGGGCCUUCAGCAAGCAUGUGCUUGCUGCCUGGUGUCCAUUCCCAACUGCGCCGAGGGUGUUGUUGAACAAUAUCACACAUCUAUCAAGUCCCCCUUUGUAUCAGACACUCUUCUGGGCAUUAGAGAAACAAAGACGGAGAGAGUUCUUGCCCUAAGUUCACAAACAGAAUGGAGAGACUGGCAGGUGAGCAAAACAUUAAAAGUUUGUAAGAUAAGCACCGUGAUGAGGGCCUCAGCAGAUUUACAGUAGAGAGCGGUGAGGAGGUUCUGAGCCCACGUUGACUUGGUACCACAUGCAAUCAAAGCACUUUGUUGUUGGCCCAGGAGCUGCGACCGAGAGCUGGGGGUCCCCAGUGGCCUGAUGCUGAGCAGCAGCGAACUUUGGGGAAGCCACUGACACUCCAAACCGAGCUUUGCUCAUUUUAAAACUGUAACCACAACAUUAAAAUUUCUAAUUUACUGAGAGAGUUAAAGUUGUGGCUUGAAAAUUGUAGAGCAAAUAAAUUAUAUGAAAAGAUGAACGGGACCGCCCUCAGAGCACCGUUGUAAAGAUACAUCUACUUCAUGCAUAGGAGGCUGCUUAAACACCUGAAGAGCUACACGGAUGUCUGUACAAUUUCAAAAUUAAUUAACAACUGUUCUUCUCAUCUUCUCCUUGGUUAAAGCCAAAAGUCAAAGAUGAAAAGGUGGACAUGGGCCCUUUCAAAGUACCCUAUUUUUGUACAGGACAAUGCGAUCCAGAGUUUGAUCAAAUAUCAGGGAGAUUUACAUGUGGCUGACUUUGACUAAAUUGACAGCAGCCUUGAUUAGUAUAUUUCAUCUGCUCAUAGUAAACCAUGACAAUAAAAAUUGAAUGAACUCGUCUUAAUGCUAAUCAAAUUGAGUGGAAUUUCAUUUGACAGAGCUUAAUUAUUUGGCAAACACAGUAACCUACAAGACUAAAACAAGAGAGCAAAGCAGAAAUGGCUUUAGACCCCAGGCCUGCAGCUACAGCUGUGAGUCAGGGUGACAUAAAUCCUUUUACUGGAUUGAGACUAAAAGUGUCCUUGUGUCUUUUCCUAACCUGGGUCUUCCUUGUUGCUCAGGCUAUCUCCAAAGAAAUUCUCUAUUCGCAUUUCUUCAGUGUCACGACUGAAGGGAUGAGCCCCUUAAAAGUAGGUUAGAUACUAGCCAGCCAGGAAUAGAAAAAAUUCAGUAGAGGCUUGGAAGUCAGUGAAUUGUUUGUGCUCUCCACCCUAACCAGUUAAAAACCAGUAAAGAAUGAGGGGAAAUGGACUUAAAUGAAAUCAAAUGGGCUUGCUAACAUGCCCCCAUUUUCUCCAUUUCCUAAUCCUUUUAUAAAUUCCAUUGAGAUAGGAUUUGCCUUUAGACUGAUUAUGUGACUUAAAAAUCAGCAUAAUUACGAGAUAUUUGUUGAAAGGAAGUUCCUCAUCUUGUCUGUUUGGUUUCCUUUCCAGUGCUGAGUGGCGGGUGACCUGGCUGCAACCAGGUCCCACCUGGGACGUUCCCCUCUCAGAGGUAAGGAGAACCUUCCUGAUAACCUUAAAUGAGGAAACCAGGGCCCGAAAAAAAGCAGAUGAUUUUUCCAGCAACUCAGUGGCAAAGCCAAGAAUGAGGCUCUUGUUUUUCUCUUGUUUUGUUUUGUUUUUUUUAGAGGUUUUUUAGUGAAUUCACUUAGUAACAUUAAUUGUUGUUCAUGUAAAACUAGAAAAUGGAAUCUUGAAAACACUAAGUUGAACUGUAAUAUCACAAAGCCAAUUUUUAGCAGUAACAUGAAUCAGGUAAUAAAUAGCUCCGUUUGGUCAA